Molecule: ribosomal RNA, 745 nt
Filed under: uncultured bacterium
Lineage: Bacteria
Description: bacterial SSU rRNA
Rfam family: Bacterial small subunit ribosomal RNA
Source: RNAcentral
ACGCUGGCGGCAGGCCUAACACAUGCAAGUCGAGCGGUAGAGAGAAGCUUGCUUCUCUUGAGAGCGGCGGACGGGUGAGUAAUGCCUAGGAAUCUGCCUGGUAGUGGGGGAUAACGUUCGGAAACGGACGCUAAUACCGCAUACGUCCUACGGGAGAAAGCAGGGGACCUUCGGGCCUUGCGCUAUCAGAUGAGCCUAGGUCGGAUUAGCUAGUUGGUGAGGUAAUGGCUCACCAAGGCGACGAUCCGUAACUGGUCUGAGAGGAUGAUCAGUCACACUGGAACUGAGACACGGUCCAGACUCCUACGGGAGGCAGCAGUGGGGAAUAUUGGACAAUGGGCGAAAGCCUGAUCCAGCCAUGCCGCGUGUGUGAAGAAGGUCUUCGGAUUGUAAAGCACUUUAAGUUGGGAGGAAGGGCAGUUACCUAAUACGUGAUUGUUUUGACGUUACCGACAGAAUAAGCACCGGCUAACUCUGUGCCAGCAGCCGCGGUAAUACAGAGGGUGCAAGCGUUAAUCGGAAUUACUGGGCGUAAAGCGCGCGUAGGUGGUUUGCUAAGUUGGAUGUGAAAUCCCCGGGCUCAACCUGGGAACUGCAUUCAAAACUGACUGACUAGAGUGUGGUAGAGGGUGGUGGAAUUUCCUGUGUAGCGGUGAAAUGCGUAGAUACAGGAAGGAACACCAGUGGCGAAGGCGACCACCUGGACCAACACUGACACUGAGGUGCGAAAGCGUGGGGAGCAAAC